This 195-nucleotide ribosomal RNA is filed under the name uncultured bacterium. Its description in RNAcentral is "partial 16S ribosomal RNA". It matches the Rfam family "Bacterial small subunit ribosomal RNA", at positions 338 to 525 of the family's 1533-position model. The record is from RNAcentral.
CCUACGGGAGGCAGCAGUGGGGAAUAUUGCACAAUGGGCGCAAGCCUGAUGCAGCCAUGCCGCGUGUGUGAAGAAGGCCUUCGGGUUGUAAAGCACUUUCAGUCGUGAGGAAGGUAGUGUAGUUAAUAGCUGCAUUACUUGACGUUAGCGACAGAAGAAGCACCGGCUCACUCCGUGCCAGCAGCCGCGGUAAUA